RNAcentral lists this non-coding RNA (32 nucleotides) under Prorocentrum micans. Lineage: Eukaryota; Dinophyceae; Prorocentrales; Prorocentraceae. The record is from RNAcentral.
AGUUUUUUUUUUUUUUUUUUUUUUUUUUUUAU